RNAcentral lists this non-coding RNA (310 nucleotides) under human gut metagenome. The record is from RNAcentral.
AAGCUUUAUGGCCUCUGUUUUAUUAAGCGGCAAGAUAACUUGCACAGAACCUUUACCAAAGCUUUUUUCGCCAAUUAAUAGGGCUCUUUUGUUAUCUUGCAGGGCGCCAGCUACAAUUUCACUAGCGCUUGCAGAUCCGCUAUUUAUUAAAACAACAAGUGGAAUUGUGGGAUAUGGCGCGCGUCCAGUGGCGUUAAAUACGCUAUUUUCGGCUUUAUUUUGUCCUUUUUGACUAACUAUUAUUCCAGAUUUUAUAAAUAGAUCUGAUAGCCCGACGGCUUGAUUUAGCAGACCACCUGGAUUGUUGCGC